This is a non-coding RNA of Lepisosteus oculatus (spotted gar), 968 nucleotides long. NCBI's taxonomy places the organism in Eukaryota, Metazoa, Chordata, Actinopteri, Semionotiformes, Lepisosteidae. The record is from RefSeq and is a predicted model, not a curated record.
GUUGAGUCAUCAUAAGCUGGUCAAUAUGGUCUUGUCUUCCAGCAUAAUGAUAAUGUCAGAAAUGACACAUGGAGGCUUGUCCAAGCUUUCCAGCACAGAUCAGCACUCACACAGCAGGCUAACCCUUCAGCCCAGAUCUGAACAUGAACAUGUGUGAGAGUCACUGCCAGGUCCCAGUCCAGGCAGGCAGAGCUCAGCAGCUUCGAGACGUGAGAAGAGCCCUGGUCAGGAGCCAGCGAUCUGUGUGCUUCUGUCCUGGCCGGUGAGGAGGGGCUGCACAGCUGUGGUCCUGGCUGGGACGCAGGGAGGUGUGAGCUCUCCCUCUCGCUGGGGCGUGGGGAGUGCACUGGGCCUGAGCCUCUCUGGAGUCUGGAGCUGGGGGUGAAGUGGCCUCAGCACACCAGGGCUGUAGAGGAGACAGAGCAGCUCCUGUCUGUCCAUGUGCUGCUGAGAGCUGACUGACUGAGACACAGAAACUCUGCAUGACUCCUCUCUUCUCUUUCCCUACAGCUUCCUGUUUUGGUUUGAUGUUCAGUAUUGGAUUCAUAGACGGAUUCUAUUUUGUUAUUACUACACAAACAGAUCCAAUAAAAUACAUAACUGGACUGGUUGUAAGUUUUGUAGCUCUGCUUGUGCUUGUGCUUUUUAAGGAGCGGUGUGGUCUCUGGGGAGCACGUGCAUCUUUGUGUCACAGACUUGCUCUUGUGGCUUUGCUGACAGUUCUAAUCACAUUCAGCUUGCUUUGGCUGAACGAGGCUCCAGAGAGUGACAGAGGGCGACUCGGACGGAUGUGUGAAUCAGCAUUUCUUAUCAUUCUGUUUGGUCUGGAAACAGUUGAACCUCUCAGCAAAAUCUCUGGUAAAGUAUAAUAUAUUGAGCUCUGUGCACUGGUCACUGGUACAGUACAGUGUGUUGAGCUCUGUGCUCUGGUGACUGGUACAGUACAGUGUGUUGAGCUUUGUGUUCUG